This 467-nucleotide ribosomal RNA is filed under the name uncultured bacterium. RNAcentral's name for it is "partial 16S ribosomal RNA". It matches the Rfam family "Bacterial small subunit ribosomal RNA", at positions 28 to 507 of the family's 1533-position model. The record is from RNAcentral.
GACGAACGCUGGCGGCGUGCUUAACACAUGCAAGUCGAACGGAAAGGCCCUGCUUUCGUGGGGUGCUCGAGUGGCGAACGGGUGAGUAACACGUGAGUAACCUGCCCUUGACUUUGGGAUAACUUCAGGAAACUGGGGCUAAUACCGGAUAGGAGCUCCUGCUGCAUGGUGGGGGUUGGAAAGUUUCGGCGGUUGGGGAUGGACUCGCGGCUUAUCAGCUUGUUGGUGGGGUAGUGGCUUACCAAGGCUUUGACGGGUAGCCGGCCUGAGAGGGUGACCGGCCCAUUGGGACUGAGAUACGGCCCAGACUCCUACGGGAGGCAGCAGUGGGGAAUAUUGCACAAUGGGCGGAAGCCUGAUGCAGCAACGCCGCGUGCGGGAUGACGGCCUUCGGGUUGUAAACCGCUUUCGCCUGUGACGAAGCGUGAGUGACGGUAAUGGGUAAAGAAGCACCGGCUAACUACGUG